UAAGGAAUAUUGGACAAUGGGCGCAAGCCUGAUCCAGCCAUGCCGCGUGAAGGAUGAAGGCGCUAUGCGUCGUAAACUUCUUUUGUAUGGGAAAAAUUCCCCGAUUUCUAUCGGGGUUGAUGGUACCAUAAGAAUAAGGGUCGGCUAACUUCGUGCCAGCAGCCGCGGUAAUACGAAGGACCCGAGCGUUAUCCGGAUUCAUUGGGUUUAAAGGGUGCGUAGGCGGGCCUAUAAGUCAGUGGUGAAAGCCCUUCGCUUAACGAAGGAAUUGCCAUUGAUACUGUAGGUCUUGAGUAUAGUUGAGGUGGGCGGAAUGUGUCAUGUAGCGGUGAAAUGCUUAGAUAUGACACAGAACACCGAUUGCGAAGGCAGCUCGCUAAACUAUAACUGACGCUGAGGCACGAAAGCGUGGGUAGCAAACAGGAUUAGAUACCCCCGUAGUCC
RNAcentral lists this ribosomal RNA (444 nucleotides) under uncultured bacterium. RNAcentral's name for it is "bacterial SSU rRNA". It matches the Rfam family "Bacterial small subunit ribosomal RNA", at positions 355 to 796 of the family's 1533-position model. The record is from RNAcentral.